AGUGAACGCUGGCGGUAGGCCUAACACAUGCAAGUCGAACGGCAGCACAGUAAGAGCUUGCUCUUACGGGUGGCGAGUGGCGGACGGGUGAGGAAUACAUCGGAAUCUACUUUUUCGUGGGGGAUAACGUAGGGAAACUUACGCUAAUACCGCAUACGACCUACGGGUGAAAGCAGGGGAUCUUCGGACCUUGCGCGAUUGAAUGAGCCGAUGUCGGAUUAGCUAGUUGGCGGGGUAAAGGCCCACCAAGGCGACGAUCCGUAGCUGGUCUGAGAGGAUGAUCAGCCACACUGGAACUGAGACACGGUCCAGACUCCUACGGGAGGCAGCAGUGGGGAAUAUUGGACAAUGGGCGCAAGCCUGAUCCAGCCAUACCGCGUGGGUGAAGAAGGCCUUCAGGUUGUAAAGCCCUUUUGUUGGGAAAGAAAAGCAGCAGGUUAAUACCCCGCUGUCCUGACGGUACCCAAAGAAUAAGCACCGGCUAACUUCGUG
RNAcentral lists this ribosomal RNA (492 nucleotides) under uncultured bacterium. RNAcentral describes it as "partial 16S ribosomal RNA". It matches the Rfam family "Bacterial small subunit ribosomal RNA", at positions 29 to 507 of the family's 1533-position model. The record is from RNAcentral.